CAGGACAUAGCUUAAACAAAGCAUCUAGUUUACACCUAGAAGAUUUCAUACACUAUGAAUGUCUUGA
This 67-nucleotide transfer RNA is filed under the name Nanger soemmerringii (Soemmerring's gazelle). Its description in RNAcentral is "tRNA-Val". It matches the Rfam family "tRNA". From Rfam's summary of the family: Transfer RNA (tRNA) molecules are approximately 80 nucleotides in length. Their secondary structure includes four short double-helical elements and three loops (D, anti-codon, and T loops). Lineage: Eukaryota; Metazoa; Chordata; Mammalia; Artiodactyla; Bovidae. The record is from RNAcentral.